ACGGAGGAUCCGAGCGUUAUCCGGAUUUAUUGGGUUUAAAGGGUGCGUAGGUGGAUUGUUAAGUCAGUGGUGAAAGUUUUCAGCUCAACUGAAAAAUUGCCGUUGAAACUGUCGAUCUUGAGUGCAAAUGAGGUAGGCGGAAUGUGUUGUGUAGCGGUGAAAUGCUUAGAUAUAACACAGAACUCCGAUUGCGAAGGCAGCUUACUGGGAUGCAACUGACACUGAUGCACGAAAGCGUGGGUAUCAAACAG
Molecule: ribosomal RNA, 251 nt
Filed under: uncultured prokaryote
Description: partial 16S rRNA
Rfam family: Bacterial small subunit ribosomal RNA
Source: RNAcentral